CGUUGGCAACAAAAUUAAUUUCUCCCUACAACAAAUCCCACGAGGUAAUCACACAAGUGAAAAACAAUACUCAGUAACCAAGUAAUGAACAUAAAUAUUAACUCCAAUGAAUAAGGACGACAAGAAUUGUAAAAAACCUCAUGGAAAUCGUGGGUCACGGACCCACUCAGCAAAACGCUCCAAUUCAUCACAGAAAACAUUGGUGUCAUUGGGAUGGAAUGAAGACAAUUGAACUACAUCAGCCGCUCCCACCGCCCCUGAUUUGGACUUGAACAAAGCAUCCGCAACUUCAUUACGAUCAUCAAAAUUUCACAAUCUAUGGUCCUCGAAACCCCGGAGUUAAA
Molecule: long non-coding RNA, 344 nt
Filed under: Salvia miltiorrhiza (redroot sage)
Lineage: Eukaryota; Viridiplantae; Streptophyta; Magnoliopsida; Lamiales; Lamiaceae
Description: long non-coding RNA (SMIL_LNC008923)
Source: RNAcentral